GACGAACGCUGGCGGCGUGCCUAAUACAUGCAAGUCGAGCGGACCGAAUGGAAGCUUGCUUUCAUUCGGUUAGCGGCGGACGGGUGAGUAACACGUGGGUAACCUGCCCGUAAGACCGGGAUAACUCCGGGAAACCGGUGCUAAUACCGGAUAACACCGAAGACCGCAUGGUCUUCGGUUGAAAGGUGGCUUCGGCUACCACUUACGUGUUGGCCCGCGGCGCAUUAGCUAGUUGGUGAGGUAACGGCUCACCAAGGCGACGAUGCGUAGCCGGCCUGAGAGGGUGACCGGCCACACUGGGACUGAGACACGGCCCAGACUCCUACGGGAGGCAGCAGUAGGGAAUCUUCCGCAAUGGACGAAAGUCUGACGGAGCGACGCCGCGUGAGCGAAGAAGGUCUUCGGAUCGUAAAGCUCUGUUGUUAGGGACGAAGAAGUACGGUUCGAAUAGGGCGGUAAGGUGACGGUACCUAACGAGAAAGCCCCGGCUAACUACGUG
This 499-nucleotide ribosomal RNA is filed under the name uncultured bacterium. Its description in RNAcentral is "partial 16S ribosomal RNA". It matches the Rfam family "Bacterial small subunit ribosomal RNA", at positions 28 to 507 of the family's 1533-position model. The record is from RNAcentral.